CAGCAGACUGAAAACAGGAGAAAAACAUUGGAUAGAUUGUAGCCGUAUUAUGAAGAUUAGAGUUGAGAACUUUGGAGAAUGAGUUCUGGACAAAUUGGACAGUUCGGAAAAAGGCAUACUGGAAGAGAGAAGCGCAAGUGAAUGUAAAGACUAAAACUAUAUUCUUGAUUGGAAGGUUUAGAAGCCAGUAAAGGGCUUUGUGGAAUGGAUAAGCAGG
Molecule: non-coding RNA, 217 nt
Organism: Pelobates cultripes (western spadefoot toad)
Lineage: Eukaryota; Metazoa; Chordata; Amphibia; Anura; Pelobatidae
Source: the annotation of a GenBank genome assembly